This 101-nucleotide small nuclear RNA is filed under the name Ornithorhynchus anatinus (platypus). Lineage: Eukaryota; Metazoa; Chordata; Mammalia; Monotremata; Ornithorhynchidae. The record is from RNAcentral.
GAUCUGUUCGGCAGCACAUAUACUAAAAUUGGAACGAUACAGAGAUUAGUAUGGCCCGGCGCAAGGAUGGCAUGCAAAUUCGUGAAGCAUUCCACAUUUUU